Molecule: non-coding RNA, 75 nt
Organism: Oncorhynchus gorbuscha (pink salmon)
Lineage: Eukaryota; Metazoa; Chordata; Actinopteri; Salmoniformes; Salmonidae
Source: the annotation of a RefSeq genome assembly
GUUCCCGUGUGGCUCAGUUGGUAGAGCAUGGCACUUGCAAUGCCAGGGUUGUGGGUUUGAUUCCCAUAGGGGACC